This is a long non-coding RNA of Stomoxys calcitrans (stable fly), 1804 nucleotides long. RefSeq lists it as uncharacterized. The record is from RefSeq and is a predicted model, not a curated record. The transcript has 3 exons. Lineage: Eukaryota; Metazoa; Arthropoda; Insecta; Diptera; Muscidae.
UUCAACCCGAAUGCGUUCCACAAGUCGUAUCCACAUAUGAUAUUUUGUGGUAUUACCAAAAAUUCUAUCGACUUAACCUGACCUUGAAAUUUAAUCUCAAUGGUAACUGUUCCAAACACGCACUGACUCUUACCGUCCGCUGUAUUAACCUUGCCAAUACAUUUACAAAAUCCGUUCCAUUCCUGUACCUUGUCGAUUAAAACGCGCCAUGGCUUGAGUUUACCGCUAAGCGGGGAAGAAGAUGAUGACAUUGUGAAUGUUGAGCGGCGAGGACACAAGAACAAUGAUAGCAAAUAGAAGAUGUUAAAUCCAAUAAUCAGUGAGGACGUCUAUUAAGGAUUUGUGGAUGAAUACAGAAAGCACCAUGCCUACCGUGAGUCGUACCAUUCUAAAUUUUGCCACAUGAGUUUUUCAACCGUCGCCAACCUCAAAUGGGUGCAUUGCCGAUAGAUCGUGUUACAUCAUAUAUUCGUGCUUUUACUUACACUGGUAUGGGUUAUUUUGUAAUGCUUGUCUGUUAUGCAUUAGGAACUUUAUAAAUCGACGUGGCGUGCCGCUUGUAAUUUGCGUUGACAACGGCAUUAAUUUUGUUGGUAUCCAGAAAGAGUUGCAGGGUGAGAAAAACUUUAUAGAUAAUGAUAAGAUGGCUUUAUCUCUUACAGCAUUGGGUAUUCAAUGGAAGUUCAACCGCGAGUCCAUGCGAAGAUGGAUGGGAGAGACUCGUGCAGUCGGUCAAGAAGGCCUUUCAAGUAAUGCUGCGCGAACAUUUACCCAUACUUAAAACCUUACAAAAUUUUUUAAUUGAAGCUGAGAAAAUGGUUAAUUCUAGACCACUGACGCAUUUGACUGUUACAUCAGAAGAUCCCGACCUAUUGCCGCCAAAUCACCAAAGUGGUGUCUUCCUAACCAUCCUGUCAACAUUGGAAGCCUUGUUUUUAUAUGCGCUCAGACAUUCGCCGCUCUCAGUGGAAGUGUGAGUUGUUAAAUUGUUAACUGGGAAAGAAGGCGUCACGCGCUGUGCAAGAAUCAGCACCAGUUCCGCUUUUUAUAGGAGGUGGUGAAGCCUGCCUAUCCGGGUCAUUUCACGGGGUGAAGAUGUCGAUGAUGGUCACUCCAAAGUGGGCGUAAGUGAUGGUCACUCUGAAGUGGCCGUUGAAGAUGGUCAUUCAUAAAGUGGGCAAAGUAAAGGGGUUGGAUGUGGCUUAGCAUAACUUGUGGUUGUAUAAAAGCCCUUUAGGCCUUGAUUGUUUUCUUUUUGCUUGGACAACUAAACUAAACAUGUAAGGUUAUCGUUUAUAACUUGUUAAAUUUUUAAAUUCUUCUUAUUAGCGAAUGAACAUUAUACAAUCAUUUAAACAAUCAAUUAUAUUAUUAUUUGUCUUGGAUGUCGACUUUGAUUGUAUUACUGCCUAUUGCUUGGUAAUUUGUUUGGUUUAUCCACCGCCGUCAGCCAUUAGCAAACAGUACAGCCAUAAAUACCUAUAUUCUGAUUUAGGGUCCUGAGCCCAUAAGAGGUGCAUUUAAUAUCAAAUGUUGUUGAAAUUUCAAACGGUGAGUUAUUCAAUGUCCCUCGAUGUCCCAAUCGGACAAUAUUUAGAUACAACUGUCAUAUAGACCGAUGUCUUGAUAUAGGGUCUUAAUGCCAUAGCAAGCGCAUUUAGUACCCGACUUCGGACCCGACAGAUCGGACCUAUUUAAAUGUAGCCGCCACAUUGACCUACUUGUCAAUAUAGGGUCUUAACCCAUUAACGCCUUACCCUCGAUUCCAUUGUCCGAUUUGGAUGAAAUAUGUAUUCGUUAUUUA